AAAGCAGUGUGUAAGACUGGUGAAGGAGAACAUGCCAAGAUGCAUGAAAACUGUUAUUAAAAACCAGGGUUAAUGAACAAAAUAUUGAUUUCUGAACUCCUUUUUAUGAAUAUAAACUUAUUUUCCUUGCAUGAUUUGCUCUGCAUCUUUUUUGUCAUUUCUCAUUUUUUGCAAAUAAAUGCUCUAAAUGACAAUAUUUUUAUUUGUAAUUUGGGAGAAAUGUUGUCAGUAGUUUAUAGAAUAAAACAACAAUGUUUAUUUUACUCAAACAUAUACCUAUAAAGAGCAACAUCAGAGAAACUGAUUCAGAAACUGAAGUGGUCUUUUACUUUUUUUCCAGAGCUGUACAUGUAUCAAUUGAAAAUAGACAGUAAUUCCACCAACCAUUCACCCACAAGCUAAUUUGUGGUCUCAUCAUUUUCAGUUUCAGUUCUAGUGCUUUAUAUAGUUAUACUUUAUGGGCUUUUUUAACAUUUGUGCUUUCCAUUUUUGCGCUUCAUACUAAACUAACACGUAUCUACUUUUGAGCUACAUCUUGAGUUGAGUGUUGACUGUUUUUUCUGCAGAUUUCAGAAGAAAAAACACAGAGAGGAAGUGUGUAAAGCCUGCUUUUGGAGAGGUGUGAAAGCCCCUCACAAGCCCGCUUACAUAGCCACUCUUCUUUUAUCUGUGUGCACGUUCUAUGCAGAAGAUAAUAGUAGCAAGAUGAAGAGCAGGACUGUGUGGAGUGCAGCUCGAAACAUGGCACCUCAGAGUUUCCUCCUGGCUGUAAUCCAUCUAUCAGCAUACGUCUAUGGUAAUGUCAGCGUGGAGCAAUGGCCGCCCACAGCACAGCACUCAACAGGAGAAAACACCACCCUGUUCUGCAGGAUCCGCGCAGACAGAGAAACGAACAUUACCAAAUGCCGCAUAGAUUGGUACAGGCAGAGCGAGGAUGGCAGGCUUCCAGAGAUCAGACAGCUCUUACAGUUCAGAGGAAGGUUCCAGGAGCAUGUGAAUGACAGCCAGUGGAGCAGCAACCUCUCACUGACUGCACUUGAGCUGAAUGACACCGGCAGGUUCUUCUGCAACUACUUCUGCCUGAUUAACAGAACAUUACCGGCACGUCAGUAUGGUGGAACAGGCACAAAUCUCAGUGUCUAUGAAGAGAAAAGGGCUCCUAGGAUAACAGAUGCUGUUAUAUCUACUACUACUAUUAAUGCUGGUACAUUUGAUGAGGAAACCACAAAUGAUGUCCUUUUCACAAUCCUUCUUUUUCUUCCUUUAUCAUUAAAGCUGGUUGUAUCUGUGUUUUUAUGCACUUACACAUUGUUUUCAUUCUACGUCCGCUGUUAUUGCUUGUUCUCAUUUACUCAUUUAAUAAGAAUCUAAAGUCCUUUUUUGCUGAAUCUGUCUCCUGAUUAAUUUCACACCUGUGGUUGUUGUGUUCUGUACAGCAGUUCUAUUACUUUCCGUUAGCAUCAGAUGACUUAUUUCUUCCAUCUGUUAAAUGUUAAGCACCCACAGGCUCAUGGCCACUUAUCUGCACCCACAGACUGUAUCGUUCCACCUAGUGAAACCUUUUUGUAAUCACUUCUGAUGAUCUAAGAGACAGACAGUGUUGGCUUGAAGUGGGUGGGCUACAAAGGUGCAGUAUGAAAGCAGGCUUAACUACAGGCCAUCUGAACCAUCAGAAGCUGCUUAUUACAUUUCAUAAAUACCUAAAGUCAGGCUCAAGAUGAUGUAUUGCUAUUUUAUUAUUGUUUAGUACAUACUGUAUAUAUUGUACACAAUAUUGAAUGACUUUAACUGAGA
This 1794-nucleotide long non-coding RNA is filed under the name Astyanax mexicanus (Mexican tetra). Its description in RNAcentral is "lncRNA (ENSAMXG00005000150.1)". Lineage: Eukaryota; Metazoa; Chordata; Actinopteri; Characiformes; Acestrorhamphidae. The record is from RNAcentral.